GAGGCAACUUUUUGCCUAGUGAAUCGAAUAUCGAUAUCUCUCUUUUUCCUAGUUGCCUAAAUCAUGUUAUGACCGCCUGAGAGGAAUUAGUAGGUUAAGUAAUUUCAGUGUACCCUUCCUCUUUGCUGCUACAUUU
Molecule: small nucleolar RNA, 136 nt
Organism: Raphanus sativus (radish)
Lineage: Eukaryota; Viridiplantae; Streptophyta; Magnoliopsida; Brassicales; Brassicaceae
Product: small nucleolar RNA snoR144
Exons: 1
Source: RefSeq, a predicted model, not a curated record